CAUCUUUCAUCCUCAUUCUGGCCGAGAGCUUUAGAGAAGAAUGAAGAUUCUAAAUCUUACAGUUAAAAGGACAAGCCACCACGGCGUCUGCAGAGAGACGGAUGAGACGUGGCAUAUCAUUAGGUUUAGCUGGGCUCUGAGUCUCUGGGGGUGUCUGAGAGUCGUUCCUCACGGUUGGAGAAGCUCUGCUACACCUUCCUCCUCCAGCGCGGUGUUCUCCGGCAGCGCGGCUCCCUCAGCGGGAGGGAGUUUUACAGCCCCGGAGAGAGAGGCGGGCUCUCUACAGCCCCGUGCACAACUUCAACCACCCCUGAUCAAAUUACAGAUGAUUUUCUAACUGAAAAAAAAAGUUUUAAUUGGACAAACUGUAGUAAAAAAAAAGCUUGUGUUCAUUGUUACUUUUCUCAAUAAGUUGUAUGCAUUCUUUCACAUUAAAUAAGCAGGCACCUUG
Molecule: long non-coding RNA, 451 nt
Organism: Astyanax mexicanus (Mexican tetra)
Lineage: Eukaryota; Metazoa; Chordata; Actinopteri; Characiformes; Acestrorhamphidae
Exons: 2
Source: RefSeq, a predicted model, not a curated record